UCUUGCUUGGUUAUGUGCAUGUCUUUCCUUCUUCGCUUUGAUAUCGUCUUUUACGCAUACCUUGUAAUUAUUAAGCGCGCGGCGGUAUUGCAACUAAUUACGCAUUUGGACUAGAAAAGCGUAUCAACUGUUUCAUCGACGAUAGCGGAGGCGAUUUGGCGUAACCUCAACGAGAGAGAUAGACCUCUCAGCCUAGGCUCGGCGCUUCAAGGACAACAGUGCAACAAGGCAGCAACGAAAGUAUCUCCUUGUCUGAUGGGGCUCCCACCAAAGAGGACAUUUCUCCUUCGUGCCGGUAUCAGCAUGAGUCGGAAUACGGCACAAACAUCAACGGAGGUUUUGAUUUUUGUCAAAAUCCGCUGUUUUACUGUCUCGCUCUCUUCUGCUCCUUUUGGCGCGACUGGAAUUGAUGACGUCAU
This is a long non-coding RNA of Macrobrachium nipponense, 419 nucleotides long. RefSeq lists it as uncharacterized. The record is from RefSeq and is a predicted model, not a curated record. NCBI's taxonomy places the organism in Eukaryota, Metazoa, Arthropoda, Malacostraca, Decapoda, Palaemonidae. The transcript has 3 exons.